Small nuclear RNA from Apodemus sylvaticus (European woodmouse), 106 nucleotides. The record is from RefSeq and is a predicted model, not a curated record. NCBI's taxonomy places the organism in Eukaryota, Metazoa, Chordata, Mammalia, Rodentia, Muridae.
GUGCUCGCUUCGGCAGCACACAUACUAAAAUUGGAACAAUACAGAGAAGAUGAACAUUUUCCCUGCGAGAGAUGACACACAGAUUUGUGAUGUGUUACAUAUUAAA